Long non-coding RNA from Rosa chinensis, 502 nucleotides. RefSeq lists it as uncharacterized. The transcript is spliced from 3 exons. The record is from RefSeq and is a predicted model, not a curated record. Lineage: Eukaryota; Viridiplantae; Streptophyta; Magnoliopsida; Rosales; Rosaceae.
CUUCAUAUUGGCUGGUCUGGCCAAGCCUGACACAAAACACUCCCCUCUGUAGUGCUUGCUUGCUCUGAAAUCCGAAAAGUGACUGGUAAUCAUGGGAGGGAGAUCUCACUUCGAGAAAUUCCUCAAUACCUUCGCUACAAGUACCACAAAACAUGACAAAACCCCGACUUUCUUUGCUUUUAAUCUGAAUAUCCCCUUCCCAUUUCUGUUUCAACCGGUCGGAUUGCAGUUCUUAUCUGCUUCUUUCACUGACGAGAAGGAAAUGGUUCAAACAACCGGUUGACAACAUUGAAACUGAUCAUAAGCAAUAGAAAGUUCAACCCCUGCUUCAUAGCUUGACUCAGGAAUCACUUCCCCUUGCAAGAAGCUUUUCUUACUCAGAAACUGUGAAGAAAUCUUCCCAACAUAGUGUCCGUAUUUUAGAUGAUCAUCGAUACAGCAACUGGGAUUACCAGUCAUAAACAUCAAAUGCAUCAUCUCGAUCACAGAUGCUGCAUUCUCC